Molecule: unclassified non-coding RNA, 804 nt
Filed under: Hevea brasiliensis (rubber tree)
Lineage: Eukaryota; Viridiplantae; Streptophyta; Magnoliopsida; Malpighiales; Euphorbiaceae
Source: RNAcentral
AUUGAUUAUUUUCCCAUUGCUCAGUAUAAGGUUUUUCACAGUACUAUCAGAAUUCAACUCAAUUUUCUGUAUACGAGAGUUAAGUAGGACUUGACCACCCAAUGAUUGAAUGUGGUCAACAAUUGGUAUGCACAACCUCUCGGGAGGAUUACCAUCUAAGAAAGCCAUCUUGGAGCCAUGCUUUUCCUGAAGAAAACGGUUUAAAGCAAUUAAAAUGCACUGCAUGGAAAGCUCAUCUGGAUUUAUAAAAUUAAGAGCUUUGGACAUUGCAAUGAAAACUUCGUCAUUGACACGUUCAGGAACGCCCUGCUUCCUCAUCCACUCUUUAACAGUUAAACCAUCCUGAGCCUCAACAUAGGCCUGUCCCCCAAUCAUAGCAGGUAGAAGGCCUAUGGCAAAACGCACUUUUUCUGGCCAAGUCAGCAUUUCAUUAUUCUUUAAGAUGGCCCAUAUUCCAUUUAAGGGUGCAGGAAGAACCUCUGGAAAAUCAAAGCGGCUGAAUUCUCCUGGCUUGUUUGGCAUUGCAAAAAUCAUAGAGUGCUCCUUCCACUGCAAACGAUCAUUAAUACCAAGUUCCCCAAACAAAUUCUGCACAUUGGGAUAAGCUCCAAAGAAUAUAUGGAGGCCUGUCUCAUACCAAUCUCCAUCACUAUCCUUCCAUGCAGCAAUCUUUCCACCCAAAACAUCUCUCCCCUCCAACAGUAUAGGUAUAUGUCCUGCAUCGGCAAGAUACUUUGCCGUAGAUAAACCCGCCAGACCUGCCCCGGCAAUCACAACUUGCAGCGGCUUCUCCGGCCUUGCACG